GUCUAUGGCCAUACCACGCUGAAUGUGCCCAAUCUCAUCUGAUCUCAGAAGUUAAGCAGAGUUGGGCCUGGUUAGUACUUUGAUGGGAGAAAAGGGGUAAGAGGACCUGAUAUAUU
This 116-nucleotide ribosomal RNA is filed under the name Prolemur simus (greater bamboo lemur). Lineage: Eukaryota; Metazoa; Chordata; Mammalia; Primates; Lemuridae. The record is from RNAcentral.